AGAGUUUGAUCCUGGCUCAGGACGAACGCUGGCGGCGUGCUUAACACAUGCAAGUCGAACGAUGAAGCCCAGCUUGCUGGGUGGAAGAGUGGCGAACGGGUGAGUAACACGUGAGUAACCUGCCCAUCACUCUGGGAUAAGCGCUGGAAACGGCGUCUAAUACUGGAUAUGAACAGCGGCCGCAUGGUCAGUUGUUGGAAAGAUUUAUUGGUGAUGGAUGGACUCGCGGCCUAUCAGCUAGUUGGUGAGGUAAUGGCUCACCAAGGCGACGACGGGUAGCCGGCCUGAGAGGGUGACCGGCCACACUGGGACUGAGACACGGCCCAGACUCCUACGGGAGGCAGCAGUGGGGAAUAUUGCACAAUGGGCGCAAGCCUGAUGCAGCAACGCCGCGUGAGGGAUGACGGCCUUCGGGUUGUAAACCUCUUUUAGUAGGGAAGAAGCGCAAGUGACGGUACCUGCAGAAAAAGCACCGGCUAACUACGUGCCAGCAGCCGCGGUAAUACGUAGGGUGCAAGCGUUGUCCGGAAUUAUUGGGCGUAAAGAGCUCGUAGGCGGCUUGUCGCGUCUGCUGUGAAAACCCGAGGCUCAACCUCGGGCUUGCAGUGGGUACGGGCAGGCUAGAGUGCGGUAGGGGAGAUUGGAAUUCCUGGUGUAGCGGUGGAAUGCGCAGAUAUCAGGAGGAACACCAAUGGCGAAGGCAGAUCUCUGGGCCGUAACUGACGCUGAGGAGCGAAAGCAUGGGGAGCGAACAGGAUUAGAUACCCUGGUAGUCCAUGCCGUAAACGUUGGGAACUAGAUGUAGGGCCUGUUCCACGGGUUCUGUGUCGUAGCUAACGCAUUAAGUUCCCCGCCUGGGGAGUACGGCCGCAAGGCUAAAACUCAAAGGAAUUGACGGGGGCCCGCACAAGCGGCGGAGCAUGCGGAUUAAUUCGAUGCAACGCGAAGAACCUUACCAAGGCUUGACAUAUUCGAGAACGGGCCAGAAAUGGUCAACUCUUUGGACACUCGUUUACAGGUGGUGCAUGGUUGUCGUCAGCUCGUGUCGUGAGAUGUUCGGUUAAGUCCGGCAACGAGCGCAACCCUCGUCCUAUGUUGCCAGCACGUAAUGGUGGGAACUCAUGGGAUACG
RNAcentral lists this ribosomal RNA (1131 nucleotides) under metagenome. RNAcentral's name for it is "bacterial SSU rRNA". It matches the Rfam family "Bacterial small subunit ribosomal RNA", at positions 8 to 1150 of the family's 1533-position model. The record is from RNAcentral.